Molecule: long non-coding RNA, 2514 nt
Filed under: Gossypium raimondii (Peruvian cotton)
Lineage: Eukaryota; Viridiplantae; Streptophyta; Magnoliopsida; Malvales; Malvaceae
Description: long non-coding RNA (GRAI_LNC003101)
Source: RNAcentral
AAAGAACAGCAGAAGCCAAACGAAAAGAGGGGAGAAAGGAAAGGGAAAGAAAAAUAAAAGGGAAAACUAGGGGUUUGAAGCUUGAAGUUUAAUUGGUAAGUUAAAUCAAGUCAUUUUCUCAUAAAUUUGAUGUUUUUGGAAUCUUAGAGUGAAAUACUCUUGGAUUUAAGUUGAAAAUUUGGAAGUUAAUAGAUUUUUAAGUAUAGUUCAUGUUGAACAAAUGUUUGAAUUAGGGGUUUAAUUGAUAGACUUAUUGAUUAGAAUUGAUUAAAGGAUUAAAUUGUAAAGUAAGCUAUAAGUUUUGCAUAGUAGGGACUAAAUUUCAAGAAUUUCAAAUGUUGGUAUUUAUGAUGAAAUUUAGAUAGUUAUGUCUAAGUUUGGUUGAAAUUUGAAUAGAAAUAAAGUAUGAACUAAGAUAGGAAAGUAAGUGAAUUUAAUUGGGACCAAAUUGAAUUUAUAGUAGAAAUUAGAUAGAAAUUGAAUAGGAAAAUUUAAAUAUUAGACUUAAGUUAAUAUUGUAUUAAUGAUUAUGAAAAUUAUCCUAAUUUUUCGUAGCUAAUAUCGCACCCGAGGCAUCCACGAAGAAAGGAAAAGAAAAAUUGGACAAGGAGUAGACAUGAGAAUCACGGUUUGUAUUAUUAUAAUUUAAAUCUAUUUAUUAUUAAUUGUUACAUUUUAAUUAAAAUGCAUGGUAAGUAAAAUUAGGUAAGCAAUUGAAAUGAUAAUAUUAAUUUGAAUGGAAUUGAUUUAAAAAUGUUUAUGGCUAUUGAAGUUGAAUGUGAAUAAAUUGGAAAUUAAAAGUGAUUUAAAUUGAAUCAAAUUGAAUUGAAUGAAGAAAAAUGUGCAAGUAUUUGAAAUGUGUAUUGAUUGAAAAAUAAUUAGUGAUUUGAAUUUGAUUGGAAAAUGAAUUAAAAAUAUAAUUGAAUAAAAGUGAAUUAAAUUAUGAUUAUGUAUGAAUAUAUGAAUUGUGUAUUGAUUGAAAAGUGGUUUGAAUUGAAUCGAAGUGUGAUUAUAUGUGAAUAUUUGAAAUAUGUAUUGGUAUUGAGUUGUGUAUUGAUUAGAAAAUGAAAAGUGAAUUUGAAUUGAAUCGUGACUGAAUCGAAAGUGAAUUUGAAAUAAAAAAAAAGGAAAUUAUUUGAAUACCCUAUUAACUAAUCGGGCUAAGUCGGAUAUAGUUGGCAUGCUAUAGGAUUGGAAGUGUUCAGGGAUACUUCGGCUUGGCCGAUGAGACACUGGGUGUCAUACUGUUACUUCGGGUCAUACUGUUACUUCGGAUAGAUUUGAUGAGGUACUGGGUAACAACUUACUUCGUCUUGGCCAAUGAGACACUGGGUUUUAUUUAUUGCUUCGAACUAUCCGAUGAGGCAGUACUGGGUGCCAUACUGGUGUGUUUGGUUGGAUCCGUGUAUCCGCCAAAGUCCAAGUCAUGUUAAUAAGGGGAAAAUAAAAGAAUUGAAGUAAGAAAUGAUAUUGAAUUAUGAAUUAUGUGAAUAUUCGAAGGUAUAUUUAUUGGAAAUAAAAAGCGAAUUGGAUUGAACUAAAUUGAUUUGGAAAUGAGACAUUGAAUUAAGAUGUGAAAAUGAACUGUGAGAAUCAUGGGUUCAAGAAACAGAUAAUGAUAAAGUUUAUGAAAUAGUUUUUGAUAAUAUGAAAUGAUGUAAAAAUGAGAAGUGAAAAUAAAAUGAUUUGAAAUAGUGAAAUAAUACUUGAAUUUAAUUGAAUACAAGCUAUUGAAAUAUAUUUAUGGAUUUAAUGUAUGAGUGAGUAUUAACUAUAAAUUGAUUAUAAAAGAAUGAAUUGACAAUGGAAAUUGAUAAUGGAUAAAUUAUUAAAAUGGAAUGGGAAAUUGAAAUGAAUGUGAAAUAGUUACUGAAAGACUAAUGUUGUAAGGUUUUAGAUAUGAAAUAGAAUAAGUUAUUGAAUUGAGAUAUAGAAAUGAAAUAUAUGAAAUAAUGAUUUUUAUGAAAUAGUUAUUGAUAAAAUGCAUGAAAUAGAUACUGAUGUAGUAAGAAGAUAAAUAAGUUAAAAUGAAGAGAAGCUAUUUAAAAUACAUAUUAUUAAAAUAAAAUUAAAGUUUAAAUGCAUGAAUGAUUUAUUAAUGGUAAAAUAGUGGUAAGAUUUAAUGAUGGUAAAAUAGUGGUAUAUAUAUAUAUAUAUAUAUAUAUGAUGUUUUUACCUUUAGUAUUUGAAUUAUAAUAAUACCACUGGGUGUAUACUCAACAUACGAUUUGUUUCCGUGCGCAGAUUAAGUAUAGAAAUUUUUGAAGAGUUGAAUUUGAGAUUGCAAGUUUUCAUCUCAUCACAUCUUCAAGCAACAACAGGGUAUGUUUUGAAGUUUUGAUUAGAAUGGCAUGUACUUAGGAAAAAAUAUUAGAUAUGUUCCAAGUAUUAGUUUUUAUGUUCAAUUAUAUUAGUAAUUAGCCAAGAAUUAAUUUGGCACCAAAUGUAAUAUUCCUAUAUCAGGUUUCUUAAGUCGAACAUGGUAUAGGGGUGUUACAUUUAAGUCAUGUAGCC